GGAGAGAUAGUUCAGCAGUUAAGAGCACUGACUGAUGUUCCAGAGGACCUGGGUUCAAUUCCCAGGCCAUCCG
Molecule: transfer RNA, 73 nt
Filed under: Neotoma lepida (desert woodrat)
Lineage: Eukaryota; Metazoa; Chordata; Mammalia; Rodentia; Cricetidae
Rfam family: tRNA
About the family: Transfer RNA (tRNA) molecules are approximately 80 nucleotides in length. Their secondary structure includes four short double-helical elements and three loops (D, anti-codon, and T loops).
Source: Rfam by way of RNAcentral